CGGAGGAGCAUGUGGUUUAAGUUCGAUGAUACGCGAGGAACUUACCUGGGCUCGAACGUAAGAUGACUGUAGGUGAAAGCUUACAUCUCUUCGGAGCAUUUUACGAGGUGCUGCAUGGUUGUCGUCAGCUCGUGCCGUGAGGUGUCGGGUUAAGUCCCAUAACGAGCGCAACCCCUACCUUUAGUUGCCAUCAGGUUAAGCUGGGGACUCUAAAGGAACUGCCUACGCAAGUAGUGAGGAAGGCGGGGAGUGACGUCAAAUCAGCACGGCCCUUACGUCCAGGGCUACACACGUGCUACAAUGGCCGAUACAGAGGGCAGCUACCUGGUGACAGGAUGCAAAUCUCCAAAGUCGGUCUCAGUUCGGAUCGGAGUCUGCAACCCGACUCCGUGAAGUUGGAUUCGCUAGUAAUCGCGCAUCAGCCAUGGCGCGGUGAAUACGUUCCCGGGCCUU
This 453-nucleotide ribosomal RNA is filed under the name uncultured Sphingobacteriales bacterium. Its description in RNAcentral is "bacterial SSU rRNA". It matches the Rfam family "Bacterial small subunit ribosomal RNA", at positions 930 to 1382 of the family's 1533-position model. The record is from RNAcentral. Lineage: Bacteria; Pseudomonadati; Bacteroidota; Sphingobacteriia; Sphingobacteriales.